Molecule: ribosomal RNA, 933 nt
Filed under: uncultured bacterium
Lineage: Bacteria
Description: bacterial SSU rRNA
Rfam family: Bacterial small subunit ribosomal RNA
Source: RNAcentral
AGAGUUUGAUCAUGGCUCAGAACGAACGCUGGCGGCGUGCCUAAUACAUGCAAGUCGAACGAGAAAGUGGCUUCGGCCAUGAGUACAGUGGCAGACGGGUGAGUAAUACAUAGGUAAUCUUCCCUUGAGAUGGGAAUAACCUUCCGAAAGGAGGGCUAAUACCAAAUAAGACCACGACAACUCAGGUUGUUGAGGUAAAAAGGUGGCCUCUACUUGUAAGCUAUCGCUUAAGGAUGAGCCUAUGCACCAUCAGCUAGUUGGUAAGGUAACGGCUUACCAAGGCUUUGACGGUUAACUGAUCUGAGAGGUUGAUCAGUCACACUGGAACUGAGACACGGUCCAGACUCCUACGGGAGGCAGCAGUAGGGAAUAUUGCGCAAUGGAGGAAACUCUGACGCAGCGACGCCGCGUGGAGGAUGAAGGCUUUCGGGUCGUAAACUCCUGUCGGAAGGGACGAAAGUUUUAGGGCUAAUAUCCCUAGAAUCUGACGGUACCUUUAGAGGAAGCACCGGCUAACUACGUGCCAGCAGCCGCGGUAAUACGUAGGGUGCAAGCGUUGUUCGGAAUUAUUGGGCGUAAAGCGCGUGUAGGUGGCUAUGUAAGUCGAGUGUGAAAUCCCUGGGCUCAACCGAGGAAGUGCACUCGAAACUGCGUAGCUAGAGGAUAGUAGAGGAAGGUAGAAUUCCUAGUGUAGAGGUGAAAUUCGUAGAUAUUAGGAGGAAUACCGGUGGCGAAGGCGACCUUCUGGGCUAUUCCUGACACUGAGACGCGAAAGCAUGGGUAGCAAACAGGAUUAGAUACCCUGGUAGUCCAUGCCGUAAACGAUGGGUACUAGGUGUUGGAAGAUUUGACCCUUCCAGUGCCGACGCUAACGCAUUAAGUACCCCGCCUGGGAAGUACGGUCGCAAGAUUAAAACUCAAAUGAAUUGACGG